UCGCUGACGAGUGGCGGACGGGUGAGUAAUGUCUGGGAAACUGCCUGAUGGAGGGGGAUAACUACUGGAAACGGUAGCUAAUACCGCAUAACGUCGCAAGACCAAAGAGGGGGACCUUCGGGCCUCUUGCCAUCGGAUGUGCCCAGAUGGGAUUAGCUAGUAGGUGGGGUAACGGCUCACCUAGGCGACGAUCCCUAGCUGGUCUGAGAGGAUGACCAGCCACACUGGAACUGAGACACGGUCCAGACUCCUACGGGAGGCAGCAGUGGGGAAUAUUGCACAAUGGGCGCAAGCCUGAUGCAGCCAUGCCGCGUGUAUGAAGAAGGCCUUCGGGUUGUAAAGUACUUUCAGCGGGGAGGAAGGGAGUAAAGUUAAUACCUUUGCUCAUUGACGUUACCCGCAGAAGAAGCACCGGCUAACUCCGUGCCAGCAGCCGCGGUAAUACGGAGGGUGCAAGCGUUAAUCGGAAUUACUGGGCGUAAAGCGCACGCAGGCGGUUUGUUAAGUCAGAUGUGAAAUCCCCGGGCUCAACCUGGGAACUGCAUCUGAUACUGGCAAGCUUGAGUCUCGUAGAGGGGGGUA
RNAcentral lists this ribosomal RNA (582 nucleotides) under Escherichia coli. Its description in RNAcentral is "bacterial SSU rRNA". It matches the Rfam family "Bacterial small subunit ribosomal RNA", at positions 85 to 663 of the family's 1533-position model. The record is from RNAcentral. Lineage: Bacteria; Pseudomonadati; Pseudomonadota; Gammaproteobacteria; Enterobacterales; Enterobacteriaceae.